GACGAACGCUGGCGGCGUGGAUUAGGCAUGCAAGUCGAACGGUAGGAUACCUUCGGGUAUCUGAGAGUGGCGAACGGGUGAGUAACACGUAGGUGAUCUACCCUCAAGAUUGGGACAACCCAGGGAAACUUGGGCUAAUACCGGAUGAAAGCAGCAGUGAUGUUGUUUGAAAGGUGGCGUAAGCUGCCGUUUGGGGAUGAGCCUGCGCUCUAUUAGUUAGUUGGCGGGGUAAAGGCCCACCAAGGCGAUGAUAGAUAGGCGGCCUUAACGGGUGGUCGCCCACACUGGGAUUGAGAUACGGCCCAGACUCCUACGGGAGGCAGCAGUCGAGAAUAGUCUACAAUGGCCGAAAGGCUGAUAGUGCGACGCCGCGUGAACGAAGAAGCCCUUCGGGGUGUAAAGUUCUUUUAUAUGUGAGCAGUACUUUUCUAUGUGAACAGCAUGGGGAAGAGAUAUUAGCAUAUGAAUAAGCAACGGCUAACUCCGUGCCAGCAGCC
Molecule: ribosomal RNA, 497 nt
Filed under: uncultured bacterium
Lineage: Bacteria
Description: bacterial SSU rRNA
Rfam family: Bacterial small subunit ribosomal RNA
Source: RNAcentral